UACGGAGGGCGCAAGCGUUGUUCGGAAUUAUUGGGCGUAAAGCGCGUGUAGGUGGUUUGGAAAGUUGGGUGUGAAAUCCCGGGGCCCAACCCCGGAAUUGCAUUCAAAACUUCCAGACUAGAGUCCCGGAGAGGAAGGCGGAAUUCCCGGUGUAGAGGUGAAAUUCGUAGAUAUCGGGAGGAACACCAGUGGCGAAGGCGGCCUUCUGGACGGUGACUGACACUCAGACGCGAAAGCGUGGGGAGCAAACAGG
This 253-nucleotide ribosomal RNA is filed under the name uncultured bacterium. RNAcentral's name for it is "partial 16S ribosomal RNA". It matches the Rfam family "Bacterial small subunit ribosomal RNA", at positions 524 to 776 of the family's 1533-position model. The record is from RNAcentral.